Molecule: long non-coding RNA, 208 nt
Organism: Capsicum annuum
Lineage: Eukaryota; Viridiplantae; Streptophyta; Magnoliopsida; Solanales; Solanaceae
Exons: 3
Source: RefSeq, a predicted model, not a curated record
UCCUAAGAAAUCUGGUCAUGAUUCAAGCCGAGACCUUAGCGUUCCUGUGUUGAUUCGGACUAUUAGAAGAUUGACAAAGGAGAAGGUGCUAAAAAAGGACGAAAAUAUCAACCAGCUCACAAAUGAUUUGCAAGAAUGCAUGAAGGAACUUGGCAUUGUGAAGGGGAUACUACCAAAAGUAUUUCAGGAGAGGGAUUUCAUGUGGGAG